This 253-nucleotide ribosomal RNA is filed under the name uncultured bacterium. RNAcentral's name for it is "partial 16S ribosomal RNA". It matches the Rfam family "Bacterial small subunit ribosomal RNA", at positions 524 to 776 of the family's 1533-position model. The record is from RNAcentral.
UACGUAGGGGGCUAGCGUUGUCCGGAAUCAUUGGGCGUAAAGCGCGUGUAGGCGGUCCGGUAAGUCCGCUGUGAAAGUCAAGGGCUCAACCCUUGAAUGCCGGUGGAUACUGUCGGGCUAGAGUCCGGAAGAGGCGAGUGGAAUUCCUGGUGUAGCGGUGAAAUGCGCAGAUAUCAGGAGGAACACCAAUUGCGAAGGCAGCUCGCUGGGACGUGACUGACGCUGAGACGCGAAAGCGUGGGGAGCAAACAGG